RNAcentral lists this ribosomal RNA (429 nucleotides) under uncultured bacterium. RNAcentral describes it as "bacterial SSU rRNA". It matches the Rfam family "Bacterial small subunit ribosomal RNA", at positions 355 to 776 of the family's 1533-position model. The record is from RNAcentral.
UCGAGAAUUUUUCUCAAUGGGGGAAACCCUGAAGGAGCGACGCCGCGUGGAGGAUGAAGGUCUUCGGAUUGUAAACUCCUGUCAUUGGCGAACAAGGUCAUGCGAUUAACUGUCGUGUGGAUUGAUAGUAGCCGAAGAGGAAGAGACGGCUAACUCUGUGCCAGCAGCCGCGGUAAUACAGAGGUCUCGAGCGUUGUUCGGAUUCAUUGGGCGUAAAGGGUGCGUAGGCGGCGGUGUAAGUCGGAUGUGAAAUCUCGGGGCUCAACCCUGAAAUUGCAUUCGAUACUGCACUGCUUGAGUACUGGAGAGGAGAUUGGAAUUUACGGUGUAGCAGUGAAAUGCGUAGAUAUCGUAAGGAAGACCAGUGGCGAAGGCGAAUCUCUGGACAGUUACUGACGCUGAGGCACGAAGGCUAGGGGAGCAAACGGG